This 253-nucleotide ribosomal RNA is filed under the name uncultured bacterium. RNAcentral describes it as "partial 16S ribosomal RNA". It matches the Rfam family "Bacterial small subunit ribosomal RNA", at positions 524 to 776 of the family's 1533-position model. The record is from RNAcentral.
UACGUAGGGGGCAAGCGUUGUCCGGAAUCAUUGGGCGUAAAGAGCGUGUAGGCGGUCCGGUAAGUCGGCUGUGAAUGUCCAGGGCUCAACCCUGGGAUGCCGGUCUAUACUGCCGGACUAGAGUUCGGAAGAGGCGAGUGGAAUUCCCGGUGUAGCGGUGAAAUGCGCAGAUAUCGGGAGGAACACCUAUGGCGAAGGCAGCUCGCUGGGACGUUACUGACGCUGAGACGCGAAAGCGUGGGGAGCAAACAGG